AGAUAGAGGCGCGAGCUCCAUCAGUACCUCCCAGCAUAUAAGCAGCUUUAGCUGAGAGCGAAAGGGGAUAUCGCCGAAGGGAAGGAAAGCAGCUGCGCUCUUCUUCGCUGGGCCGUCGGAUAAGAUCCGCCGGACUGUCACGUGAGUGGAGCGCUAUCUGG
RNAcentral lists this non-coding RNA (161 nucleotides) under bovine gut metagenome. Its description in RNAcentral is "Lysine riboswitch". It matches the Rfam family "Lysine riboswitch aptamer". Rfam says of the family: Riboswitches are metabolite binding domains within certain messenger RNAs that serve as precision sensors for their corresponding targets. Allosteric rearrangement of mRNA structure is mediated by ligand binding, and this results in modulation of gene expression. The record is from RNAcentral.